This 1204-nucleotide ribosomal RNA is filed under the name Triticum aestivum (bread wheat). RNAcentral's name for it is "partial small subunit ribosomal RNA". The record is from RNAcentral. Lineage: Eukaryota; Viridiplantae; Streptophyta; Magnoliopsida; Poales; Poaceae.
GAUAAUUUAAAACAAACGAUAAUAAGUACAUCUCCUAGAUGAACCUCUACGGGAGUUCACAUGACUGCUCCUAGAUGAACUCAUCUGCAGAUGAUCACCGCAAUUUUGCAGAAACAAACUCUGACAGAAAAGUACAAUAUGACCCUCGUGGGGUUACUACAUGGCAGAGGCACUACAACUCUGCCCGCCGACGAACUGCAAAUGGCCUGGCAAACGAAUUGGGGUUGCCAACCUGAAACUUAAUUGCACCGAGACGUAGAUUGCCGAGAACACAAAUAAUCUAGCUGCUCGUCCAGGUGCGCCAAACUGCAAGCGCACUGCAAAUAAAAGGAAUGAGAACCGCAACCUUUUGAAGAAGUUUGUCCAAGAAGAGAUGUAGCUACUCAUGGUUACCGCAGCCCACUCCCAACCGCGCUGCUACUCGAGGUUGUUGUGGCGCGUGGGAGGGUCACCGAACUGCACGCCGUCGUAUGCCCUACUGCAUGCUGUCGUCGGUCGCACUGCACGCCGACGUUGGCCGUACUGGACGCCCGUAGGUGCCACACAUCUUGCCAUUCGGGGCACGGCGAUGCACGACACACAACCACAGGCAACUAAAUCAGUGAGCAGGGAAUGGGCGAUGCAGCUCGGCAGUGUCGGAGUCACACCUCGAGAAUGGGCGGAUCUGGCCAGGGGAGAGGGGAGGCCAGGGAGAUGUCGGACCGGGGAGGCCAGGGAGAUGUCGGACCUCCAGCCCACCGAUGCUGCACGUGAGGGUGCCCGCACGCCGGGGCGGGGGCUGAGCUGCAUGCCGGGUCGAGCUGCACUGCACACCACAGUCGCCCGCACUGCAUGCUGUGCAGUUCAGAGAAAGGUAGAGGGGAGUCCGGUGGGGAACCCAGGGGUGCGACGUAGGCAGUGGCGGCCCGGUCCACCCGUGGUGUAGAGCGGAGGUGGUGGCGGCGAGGGCUGGGAUCCGGGGUGGCUUGUCCGCGCCGGAGGAGGGGGCGCCCAGGCCUCGCCGGAGAGGAGGAAGAGAGCCGGUUGAUCUCCUCCCUCGGGCCUAGUUGGAUCCGCAACGGCGCGGGGCGGCCGGCAGCGUGGCAAUUCUGGGCGGCCGGUGGAAUGUGGUGGGGCGGCGGGGAAGGUAGGCGAUGCGGGGAGGCGGUGCGGCGGCGAGGAAGGGAGGCGGCACGCGGCGCGCGGCGGGAGGCGGGGCGACGAU